Molecule: long non-coding RNA, 1188 nt
Filed under: Carassius auratus (goldfish)
Lineage: Eukaryota; Metazoa; Chordata; Actinopteri; Cypriniformes; Cyprinidae
Description: lncRNA (ENSCARG00000044257.1)
Source: RNAcentral
GAAUUGUCAAAUGUACACUUUCUAUUCACAUAUUCACACUUUCGCAUAAAUUUAGACUUUCAUCUUAUAUAUUCAGACUUUCAUUCCAUAUAUUCAGACUUUCAUUCCAUAUAUUCAGACUUUCAUUUGAUAUAUUCAGACUUUCAUUCCAUAUAUUCAGACUUUCAUUCCAUAUAUUCAGACUUUCAUUUUAUAUAUUCAGACUUUCAUUCCAUAUAUUCAGACUUUCAUUUUAUAUAUUCAGACUUUCAUUUUAUAUAUUCAGGCUUUCAUUUUAUAUAUUCAGACUUUCAUUCCAUAUAUUCAGACUUUCAUUUUAUAUAUUCAGGCUUUCAUUUUAUAUAUUCAGACUUUCAUUUUAUAUAUUCAGACUUUCAUUCCAUAUAUUCAGACUUUCAUUCCAUAUAUUCAGACUUUCAUUCCAUAUAUUCAGGCUUUCAUUUUAUAUAUUCAGACUUUCAUUCCAUAUAUUCAGACUUUCAUUUUAUAUAUUCAGGCUUUCAUUUUAUAUAUUCAGGCUUUCAUUUUAUAUAUUCAGACUUUCAUUCUAUAUAUUCAGACUUUCAUUCUAUAUAUUCAGACUUUCAUUUUAUAUAUUCAGGCUUUCAUUCUAUAUAUUCAGGCUUUCAUUCCAUAUAUUCAGACUUUCAUUCCAUAUAUUCAGACUUUCAUUCCAUAUAUUCAGACUUUCAUUUUAUAUAUUCAGACUUUCAUUUUAUAUAUUCAGGCUUUCAUUUUAUAUAUUCAGACUUUCAUUCCAUAUAUUCAGACUUUCAUUUUAUAUAUUCAGGCUUUCAUUUUAUAUAUUCAGACUUUCAUUCCAUAUAUUCAGACUUUCAUUUUAUAUAUUCAGGCUUUCAUUUUAUAUAUUCAGACUUUCAUUCCAUAUAUUCAGACUUUCAUUUUAUAUAUUCAGACUUUAAUUCCAUAUAUUCAGACUUUCAUUCCAUAUAUUCAGACUUUCAUUCCGUAUAUUCAGACUUUAAUUCCAUAUAUUCAGACUUUCAUUUUAUAUAUUCAGACUUUCAUUCCAUAUAUUCAGACUUUCAUUUUAUAUAUUCAGACUUUCAUUUUAUAUAUUCAGGCUUUCAUUUUAUAUAUUCAGACUUUCAUUCCAUAUAUUCAGACUUUCAUUCCAUAUAUUCAAACUUUCAUUUUAUAUAUUCAGACUUUCAUUUUAUAUAUUGA